RNAcentral lists this ribosomal RNA (904 nucleotides) under Paenibacillus sp. h50-1-u341f. RNAcentral describes it as "bacterial SSU rRNA". It matches the Rfam family "Bacterial small subunit ribosomal RNA", at positions 381 to 1276 of the family's 1533-position model. The record is from RNAcentral. Lineage: Bacteria; Bacillati; Bacillota; Bacilli; Caryophanales; Paenibacillaceae.
GCCUGACGGAGCAUGCCGCGUGAGUGAUGAAGGUUUUCGGAUCGUAAAGCUCUGUUGCCAGGGAAGAACGCUUGGGAGAGUAACUGCUCUCAAGGUGACGGUACCUGAGAAGAAAGCCCCGGCUAACUACGUGCCAGCAGCCGCGGUAAUACGUAGGGGGCAAGCGUUGUCCGGAAUUAUUGGGCGUAAAGCGCGCGCAGGCGGUCAUGUAAGUCUGGUGUUUAAUCCCGGGGCUCAACCCCGGAUCGCACUGGAAACUGUGUGACUUGAGUGCAGAAGAGGAGAGUGGAAUUCCACGUGUAGCGGUGAAAUGCGUAGAGAUGUGGAGGAACACCAGUGGCGAAGGCGACUCUCUGGGCUGUAACUGACGCUGAGGCGCGAAAGCGUGGGGAGCAAACAGGAUUAGAUACCCUGGUAGUCCACGCCGUAAACGAUGAGUGCUAGGUGUUAGGGGUUUCGAUACCCUUGGUGCCGAAGUUAACACAUUAAGCACUCCGCCUGGGGAGUACGGUCGCAAGACUGAAACUCAAAGGAAUUGACGGGGACCCGCACAAGCAGUGGAGUAUGUGGUUUAAUUCGAAGCAACGCGAAGAACCUUACCAGGUCUUGACAUCCAACUAACGAGGCAGAGAUGCGUUAGGUGCCCUUCGGGGAAAGUUGAGACAGGUGGUGCAUGGUUGUCGUCAGCUCGUGUCGUGAGAUGUUGGGUUAAGUCCCGCAACGAGCGCAACCCUUGAUCUUAGUUGCCAGCACUUCGGGUGGGCACUCUAAGGUGACUGCCGGUGACAAACCGGAGGAAGGUGGGGAUGACGUCAAAUCAUCAUGCCCCUUAUGACCUGGGCUACACACGUACUACAAUGGCCGGUACAACGGGCAGUGAAACCGCGAGGUGGAACGAAUCCUA